AUAGGUGGCAAGCGUUGUCCGGGAAUUAUUGGGCGUAAAGCGCGCGCAGGCGGUUCUUUAAGUCUGAUGUGAAAGCCCACGGGCUCAACCGUGGAGGGUCAUUGGAAACUGGAGAACUUGAGUACAGAAGAGGAAAGCGGAAUUCCACGUGUAGCGGUGAAAUGCGUAGAGAUGUGGAGGAACACCAGUGGCGAAGGCGGCUUUCUGGUCUGUAACUGACGCUGAGGCGCGAAAGCGUGGGGAGCAAACAGGAUUAGAUACCCUGGUAGUCCACGCCGUAAACGAUGAGUGCUAAGUGUUAGGGGGUUUCCGCCCCUUAGUGCUGCAGCUAACGCAUUAAGCACUCCGCCUGGGGAGUACGGCCGCAAAGGCUG
Molecule: ribosomal RNA, 374 nt
Filed under: uncultured organism
Description: partial 16S ribosomal RNA
Rfam family: Bacterial small subunit ribosomal RNA
Source: RNAcentral